UACGUAGGGCGCAAGCGUUGUCCGGAAUUAUUGGGCGUAAAGAGCUCGUAGGCGGCUUGUCGCGUCCGCUGUGAAAUCCUGGGGCUUAACCCCGGGCGUGCAGUGGAUACGGGCUGGCUAGAGGCAGGCAGGGGAGAACGGAAUUCCCGGUGUAGCGGUGAAAUGCGCAGAUAUCGGGAGGAACACCUGUGGCGAAAGCGGCGCACUGGACCAUAACUGACGCUGAGGCGCGAAAGCUAGGGGAGCAAACAG
Molecule: ribosomal RNA, 252 nt
Filed under: uncultured bacterium
Lineage: Bacteria
Description: partial 16S ribosomal RNA
Rfam family: Bacterial small subunit ribosomal RNA
Source: RNAcentral